CCCAUCUUGUGUCAUCUCAGUCUUCUUACGCGUGUAAAAAACAGGCCACGCUCACCUUUUAUCCCCACCGCCACACAAAACUCAGUUAAUUACCAACCCUAAAAACCAGAACAAAGGAAGUCGGUGGUGUGCGUCGCGUAACCCAGAAUAUGGACAGCCGGAGGCGGUGGAGGGUGGAGGGGAUGAAGGAAGCGGAGGAGUUGUCGGCGGGAGUUUGGGAAUAACGGAAAUGCCUCUGGUGACUGUCCGUCGUCGUUCUUCAUAAUGUUUGAUUUUUUCGUUUAGGUGCACUUGAUGAUUUCCAUUGAUUGUGGUUGGAGAAAGGGUUGCACUGAUGCAGAGCUCAAGAAUGCUUAUAAGAAGCUUUCACUGAGAUGGAACCCAGAUUGUUGUUCUGUAUCAGGAAACUUAAACAUGUGGAAGAAGCAAAGAAUAAGUUUCAGGCGAUAAAAGAAGCCUAUUCUGGGUGAAAUUCGAGCGAGGAUGAUUCACUUUCUAAAUAGGGCUGCAACUGUGCUUCCUAUAAUUGUGGAGGAUGUUGCAAGAAGUGGAGUUGAAAUUGAGAUGGCUUUGGAGAACUGGGAAGUGUAUAGAGAACAUAAGUUUAGUUAUUUUGUAACAUUAUAUGCUGGCGGCUAGACGGCAAGUUAGAUAUGACGAUGGAAACGAUCAAGAAUAUGGACACACCGAAAAGAUAGCAAUUCUGGAAUUCUACACUCAGGUUGCUUAGGAAGAAGUUGAGCUUCUCAUCUCCAAGUGCCUUGGACUGCUUGGGAUUAUUAGAAUUUAGGAAUUUUUGUUUGUUUUAUAUGAUGGUUGAGUUUGGGGAAGUGAGGUGGCUUCAGUUUUGUGCCGGAGAUUUGCUAACCAGUGUCAGGGGUGUUUUCAUUGGUUGACAGAGAUGGCGUUUGCAAUCACAUUCUUCCAUGUGCAGCUCCCAAAUCACGCCAAAUCCUGCCUAUUUUCGGUGGUCAAAAGCAGGGAGUGGAUGGCGAGGUCGUUUUUAAGAAAAAUUGAGAUGAUGCUACUAGAUGAAGUUACAAGUGUACUAGAUGCAGAGCCAGAGAAAUGCAUUCAAGGGGCUCUCGAGCGUGUCUGCUCAGGGAAAACGACGUUUUUUGUAGCACAAAAAUUAUCAACUAUACGAAAGGCUCAUGUAAUGGCAAUGAUUGAUGAUGGGAAAGUGGCUGAACAAGGGUCUCACUCGCAUCUGCUGAAGAAAGUCAGAAACUACUUUGCGAAAAAGUUGCAGUUGCAAACAUUCUCACACAGGGAGGAUGCGAAUUGGGGUUUGGGUUCGAGUUUUAAACACCAGACAGACGGGUAGCGAGUUAAAACUAAUUGUAUACUUAUGUAUAACUUCUACCAAGAAUGUUUUAAGGAAUCCACACUCCACAGUUCCAUUGCAUGCAUUUUAAUUUGUUUAAAAAUGUACAUCCAAGAGUUAGCUAGAUUUAAUUGUUUUUUCAACUAGAAAUUAUACUACUAAAUGUUGUACCGUUAUCAUAGCCUUUUGGUAUCGGUACCCAUUUUUCCUGUUUCUCGGGACCGGUACUCUGGGUACCGGUUU
This is a long non-coding RNA of Helianthus annuus (common sunflower), 1570 nucleotides long. RefSeq lists it as uncharacterized. Lineage: Eukaryota; Viridiplantae; Streptophyta; Magnoliopsida; Asterales; Asteraceae. The record is from RefSeq and is a predicted model, not a curated record. The transcript is spliced from 7 exons.